Long non-coding RNA from Nelumbo nucifera (sacred lotus), 911 nucleotides. RefSeq lists it as uncharacterized. The record is from RefSeq and is a predicted model, not a curated record. NCBI's taxonomy places the organism in Eukaryota, Viridiplantae, Streptophyta, Magnoliopsida, Proteales, Nelumbonaceae.
GGGAAUAGGACCUGGAAUCGGAAUGGAAUGGGUCAUUUCGUGUUUCUGGAUUUGGUCGACCAGAAUGGGAAUGAGUAGGCGGAAUGUGAUUCCCCAUAUGGGGGGAAUGGCCUUUCCCUUCCCCCUCCCCCGGAAUGCAUUCCCAUUCCGCUAUUUAGGUUCCUAAUAUUUUUUGGAUAAAGAUCCCCUCCAAUCUAACCUACGAUUAACUGUUGUUGUGAAAGGGAAGAAUCCCUCCAACCUCCAUACUAGUCAUUGUUGUCGCCACCGUCAACCCCAUAUCCGGUAAGAUCCGCCCCAUCUCCACUUCGGAUCUGCCUUGCUGUGAUUCGUUUUACAGAACAGCAUAUUCUUGUUUGUUUUAAUCCGCUUCCUACUCUGUCAAUGGAGAAUGUAGUUGUGGACUGCAAUUAGUUAGUUGAAAUCAGAAAUGGCUACAUAUGGAAGUUGAUUAAUGAAGCUUGAAGCAGAGGUUUUGUCUUUGAACCCAACUAACAAUGGAGGAAAUUCUUGUGGAUCCUACUAACAAUGCACUAGUUGGACAACAGACAUCAAAGAGAGGGAGGCCAAAGAAGCCUAUUGCUACAGUUGCUACAGUGCCAACUCCAAUCUCGUGGAAGAAAGCCUACAUAGCUCAAGGUUCAAUGCAACUAUUCAGCAAGAAAAUGAUGGAAGGAUUCCAAAGGUUUUCACGAGUGGCAGCAGCAACUUUGAGCUCAACGGGGCAAGUGUGAAGCUUCCUGUAGAAGUUCAAGCAAGAUAGGAUCUUGUACAGAAUCAGGCGCCUGUUGAGUUUUUUAUUCCAUUUGAGUUAUGGCUCUGAUACAGAUUUACGUUAGUUUGCAGUUCAAUAUAUAUGUAUAUAUGGGGGCAAAUUAUUCAAUAUAUAUCUGUUUUUGAGGUUUUUUUAA